This 253-nucleotide ribosomal RNA is filed under the name uncultured bacterium. RNAcentral's name for it is "partial 16S ribosomal RNA". It matches the Rfam family "Bacterial small subunit ribosomal RNA", at positions 524 to 776 of the family's 1533-position model. The record is from RNAcentral.
UACAGAGGUCUCAAGCGUUGUUCGGAUUCAUUGGGCGUAAAGGGUGUGUAGGUGGCGCUGUAAGUCGGGUGUGAAAUUUCGGAGCUUAACUCCGAAACUGCAUUCGAUACUGCGGUGCUUGAGGACUGGAGAGGAGACUGGAAUUCAUGGUGUAGCAGUGAAAUGCGUAGAGAUCAUGAGGAAGACCAGUGGCGAAGGCGGGUCUCUGGACCGAAAUUGACGCUGAGGAGCGAAGGCCAGGGGAGCAAACGGG